UAUUCUGCCCCAUGGGGAAGGAUGAGAAGCUUCGACUAAGGUUCGACUCGAGCGAAGCGAGAGAACGUUGCCGCAGGCAACGGCCCGAAGGGCGAGGCGCUUUAGCGCCGAGUAAUCCUUCCCCCACCACUU
Molecule: small RNA, 132 nt
Filed under: Klebsiella pneumoniae
Lineage: Bacteria; Pseudomonadati; Pseudomonadota; Gammaproteobacteria; Enterobacterales; Enterobacteriaceae
Description: RtT sRNA
Rfam family: RtT RNA
About the family: This family represents a bacterial cis-regulatory element known as RtT RNA. The exact function of RtT is unknown although it is thought that it may be involved in changing the cellular response in relation to amino acid starvation.
Source: RNAcentral